GAAGAUAUAGCUCAAGAGGUAGAGAGCGCAUGCUUAGCAUGCAUGAGGUCCUGGAUUCAAUCCUCAGUAUCUCCU
This 75-nucleotide transfer RNA is filed under the name Camelus bactrianus (Bactrian camel). It matches the Rfam family "tRNA". From Rfam's summary of the family: Transfer RNA (tRNA) molecules are approximately 80 nucleotides in length. Their secondary structure includes four short double-helical elements and three loops (D, anti-codon, and T loops). Further hydrogen bonds mediate the characteristic L-shaped molecular structure. tRNAs have two regions of fundamental functional importance: the anti-codon, which is responsible for specific mRNA codon recognition, and the 3' end, to which the tRNAs corresponding amino acid is attached (by aminoacyl-tRNA synthetases). tRNAs cope with the degeneracy of the genetic code in two manners: having more than one tRNA (with a specific anti-codon) for a particular amino acid; and 'wobble' base-pairing, i.e. permitting non-standard base-pairing at the 3rd anti-codon position. The record is from Rfam by way of RNAcentral. RNAcentral also lists the same sequence under 1 other name. Lineage: Eukaryota; Metazoa; Chordata; Mammalia; Artiodactyla; Camelidae.